This 18-nucleotide non-coding RNA is filed under the name Arabidopsis thaliana (thale cress). The record is from RNAcentral. Lineage: Eukaryota; Viridiplantae; Streptophyta; Magnoliopsida; Brassicales; Brassicaceae.
GGUUGUAUACGUUUAACA